Molecule: transfer RNA, 68 nt
Filed under: Aradus compar
Lineage: Eukaryota; Metazoa; Arthropoda; Insecta; Hemiptera; Aradidae
Description: tRNA-Ser
Source: RNAcentral
AGGAGAAUAAUGUAUUAAGAAGAGCUGCUAACUACUUCUUAAAGCGGUUAAAUUCCGUUUUUCUCCUA